RNAcentral lists this ribosomal RNA (576 nucleotides) under uncultured eukaryote. Its description in RNAcentral is "SSU rRNA". It matches the Rfam family "Eukaryotic small subunit ribosomal RNA", at positions 203 to 794 of the family's 1831-position model. The record is from RNAcentral.
UAUUUAUUAGAUAACAGACCAAUAUUCCUCGUGUCUAUUGUGGUGACUCAUAGUAACUGAUCGGAUCGCAUGGCCUUGUGCCGCGACUAACCAUUCAAGUUCCUGACCCAUCAGCUUUCGAUGGUAGUGUAUUGGACUACCAUGGCUUUCACGGGUAACGGAGGAUUAGGGUUCGAUUCCGGAGAGGGAGCCUGAGAAACGGCUACCACAUCUAAGGAAGGCAGCAGGCGCGUAAAUUACCCAAUCCUGACUCAGGGAGGUAGUGACAAGAAAUAACGGGUCGGGGCAUUCGCCUCGGGAUUGCAAUGAAUCGAAUUUACACCCCUUAAUGAGGAUCAAUUGGAGGGCAAGUCUGGUGCCAGCAGCCGCGGUAAUUCCAGCUCCAAUAGCGUAUAUUAAAGUUGUUGCAGUUAAAAAGCUCGUAGUUUGAUUUCUGGACGGGCGCCAACACCCGCUUGUUUAGUGUGGAGGCGGCGCCCGCCCAUCCUUCUGUUAACGCCACCGGCAUUCAUUUGCUGGCGGCGGGCUCAGAUAUUUUACCUUGAGAAAAUUAGAGUGUUUCAGGCAGGCUUGCGC